This 431-nucleotide ribosomal RNA is filed under the name uncultured bacterium. Its description in RNAcentral is "bacterial SSU rRNA". It matches the Rfam family "Bacterial small subunit ribosomal RNA", at positions 29 to 507 of the family's 1533-position model. The record is from RNAcentral.
AACGAACGCUGGCGGCAGGCCUAACACAUGCAAGUCGAGCGCCCCGCGAGGGGAGCGGCAGACGGGUGAGUAACGCGUGGGAAUCUUCCCAGUGGUACGGAAUAGCCCAGGGAAACUUGGGGUAAUACGGUAUAAGCCCGCAAGGGGAAAGAUUUAUCGCCAUAGGAUGGGCCCGCGUCGGAUUAGCUUGUUGGUAGGGUAAUGGCCUACCAAGGCAACGAUCCGUAGCUGGUCUUAGAGGAUGAUCAGCCACACUGGGACUGAGACACGGCCCAGACUCCUACGGGAGGCAGCAGUGGGGAAUAUUGGACAAUGGGCGAAAGCCUGAUCCAGCCAUGCCGCGUGAGUGACGAAGGCCUUAGGGUUGUAAAACUCUUUUGGCGGGGACGAUAAUGACGGUACCCGCAGAAUAAGCCCCGGCUAACUUCGUG